Molecule: long non-coding RNA, 521 nt
Organism: Oncorhynchus tshawytscha (Chinook salmon)
Lineage: Eukaryota; Metazoa; Chordata; Actinopteri; Salmoniformes; Salmonidae
Source: Ensembl
GUUGGUAGUAUGGUAGCAGUAGGGGUUAUGGGUAGUUGGUUGUAGGGUAGUAGGGUAGCAGUAGGGGUUAUGGGUAGUUGGUUGUAUGGUAGUAGGGUAGCGGUAGGGGUUAUGGGUAGUUGGUUGUAUGGUAGUAGGGUAGCAGUAGGGGUUAUGGGUAGUUGGUAGUGUGGUAGCAGUAGGGGUUAGGGUAGUUAGUAGUGUGGUAGCAGUAGGGGUUAGGGUAGUUGGUUGUAUGGUAGCAGUAGGGGUUAUGGGUAGUCGGUUGUAUGGUAGUAGGGUAGCGGUAGGGGUUAUGGGUAGUUGGUAGUGUGGUAGCAGUAGGGGUUAGGGUUAAGGGUAGUUGCGAAUAUGGUAUUUGUAUGGGUUAGGAUUAGGGCUAGUUGGUAGUAUUGUAGCAGUAGAGGUUAGGGGUAGUUGGUAGUAUGGUAGCAGUAGAGGUUAGGGUUAGGGGUAGUUGGUAGUAUAGUAGAGGGUAGCAGUAGGGGUUAUAUGUAGUUGGUUGUAUGGUAGUAGGAUAG